Molecule: long non-coding RNA, 271 nt
Organism: Populus trichocarpa (black cottonwood)
Lineage: Eukaryota; Viridiplantae; Streptophyta; Magnoliopsida; Malpighiales; Salicaceae
Exons: 2
Source: RefSeq, a predicted model, not a curated record
CUGAAACAUAAGAGAGUCCCUCAUAAUCAUGGCCUCCGCUACGGACUCUAAGGUGAAUUCCAAGCUGCUUAGAGCAAAUAACAACAGCUUGGAUGUGAGAUUCUUGUAAAGGAGUGAAGAUAAACUCAGGUUUCGGUACUGAAGGCAAGGUGAACCUGAGGUUUUGAGCAGAAGAUUGUAAGACAGUAGUGAAAGAAGAGUUUUGUGGAGUAUACAAGACAGUGGAAAAAGGAAAGGAUGUAUCUGAAUAUUUUGAGAGACAUUUUAGAAA